UCACACACACACACACACAUAAUACUAGUCAAAAGCAAAAGAAGACAUGAACACGCAGGACGAACGAUUUGUGGGCCGUGUGCUGGAGAAAAACUACGAAUCCGUGUUCCAGGUCCGCACGAUGGGAUCGCUACUGGCGGGGAUUGCAGCUGGGGUUCUAGGACUCACGAACUUCCGGGGCCUCUUUUUCUUCAUAGCUUGUGCUGUCGUUACGUCCUUUGCCAUCAUGGCGUUCGGCUGCGGCGGAAACGCGCACAAGUGCUUCCCGAAAGGCACAUCAGAGCUAUUCUCUGUACAGCAAUUGCUGUCAGGCGCCAUGACCUACAUCCUUGUGUGGACGGUGGCGUACGACGCCAUCUACAUUUUUUAGCGUCACUCGGGCAGCCGCAAGGAGUGCGCGGAUACCUCUACCUUUUUCUCAUGUUUGUGUGGGGCUGCAUUAUAAUGAUCUGAAACUUGGCGUACAUCAACUGAAAGCAAGGUGGGCCCAGUGGGCGUGGAAGACCACGGUGCCAUGCUGAGCAGUCGCGUCGGUAAUGAGGGUCAAGCGAGCUUGUGGGGAAAAAAAUGACGGAGCGCUGCUCCACAUGCGGUGACGAGGAGGAGAAUGCCCGCAAACAGCCCUGUGUCUCUGUUCCAGCUGAAGUGUUUUUCAACGUUGCACUCGUGUGCGUUUUACUACCUCUACGUCACCAGCGUUUUCCUCUCCAUGUUGGGCACGUCCUACGUUUUUCCAUGCUGCUUCUUGAGCGAAUGCUUCAUGCACGCACUCGAAAGAUAUACCAACGUGGCCACAAAGGACAUCAGUGCACGCAUGCCCAUCUCUUCAUCUUUUAUCCUCUCUGCUACACGUAAUACCAUAG
This 863-nucleotide unclassified non-coding RNA is filed under the name Leishmania donovani. RNAcentral describes it as "gene:LdHU3.32.4030(CDS-product:Rab5-interacting_p rotein_(Rab5ip)_putative)". Lineage: Eukaryota; Euglenozoa; Kinetoplastea; Trypanosomatida; Trypanosomatidae. The record is from RNAcentral.